RNAcentral lists this ribosomal RNA (492 nucleotides) under uncultured bacterium. Its description in RNAcentral is "partial 16S ribosomal RNA". It matches the Rfam family "Bacterial small subunit ribosomal RNA", at positions 29 to 507 of the family's 1533-position model. The record is from RNAcentral.
AGUGAACGCUGGCGGUAGGCCUAACACAUGCAAGUCGAACGGCAGCACAGUAAGAGCUUGCUCUUACGGGUGGCGAGUGGCGGACGGGUGAGGAAUACAUCGGAAUCUACUUUUUCGUGGGGGAUAACGGAGGGAAACUUACGCUAAUACCGCAUACGACCUACGGGAGAAAGCAGGGGAGCUUCGGACCUUGCGCGACUGAAUGAGCCGAUGUCGGAUUAGCUAGUUGGCGUGGUAAAGGCCCACCAAGGCAACGAUCCGUAGCUGGUCUGAGAGGAUGAUCAGCCACACUGGAACUGAGACACGGUCCAGACUCCUACGGGAGGCAGCAGUGGGGAAUAUUGGACAAUGGGCGCAAGCCUGAUCCAGCCAUACCGCGUGGGUGAAGAAGGCCUUCGGGUUGUAAAGCCCUUUUGUUGGGAAAGAAAAGCAGCAGAUUAAUACCCCGCUGUUCUGACGGUACCCAAAGAAUAAGCACCGGCUAACUUCGUG